RNAcentral lists this ribosomal RNA (247 nucleotides) under uncultured bacterium. Its description in RNAcentral is "partial 16S ribosomal RNA". It matches the Rfam family "Bacterial small subunit ribosomal RNA", at positions 85 to 334 of the family's 1533-position model. The record is from RNAcentral.
UGGUACUCGAGCGGCGAACGGGUGAGUAACACGUGAGUAAUCUGCCCUUGGCUUUGGGAUAGCCACCGGAAACGGUGAUUAAUACCGGAUAUGACCACUUCUCGCAUGGGUUGUGGUGGAAAGUUUUUCGGCCAGGGAUGUGCUCGCGGCCUAUCAGCUUGAUGGUGAGGUAAUGGCUCACCAUGGCUUCGACGGGUAGCCGGCCUGAGAGGGUGACCGGUCACACUGGGACUGAGACACGGCCCAG